GAUAUUGAUCCAUUUAAUCCAGAGGAGGAAUAUUAUCUACAUCUGGAAGAAUUGAGAUUUCAGGAUGAAGCAUAUGGUAUGGAUUUAACAUAUGAUAUGGAUUCAAGCGAUUUGGAUGACGGAUUGCUUUACAACAAACAAGAAAACAUACGCAACAGACCAUACAAGACAGACAGAAAACCAGUUGAAAAUAGGGACACUGCCAUGGAACGGCCAGUAUCCUAUAUAAAGGAAACUGGGGCUUUAAACGCGUUUGAGGCAUGCUAGACUAGCCACUAGACUAUUUCUACAUUUUUCCUUUUAUUGACGAAUUCAAUUUCAUAGAGACAUAACCCAAUCUAGUUUAGAGAUUUUCACAGAGGAAUGAUGUUGAAAUUAUCAGUCUAGUACUAUCCGAAAUGCUCUCAGAGAGAUGAUUGGCACCUUUGGCUAUUGAGUACCCGUGGAUAAUUUGGUACAGCAUGCCAGUGGUCAGAUGUUAUGCUGCUGAUCCUAAAUCUGUUUACCUAACUGAAUUUUAAUGGUGAUAACUGAAGAACCAUUCUCAUUCUGAAUAAAAUAUAAACAGUGGAAACUCCACAGGUCGCUCAACACAACAAAAACGAAAAUGUUGCAGGUUCGGUUUCAUUGUGCCUGUUCAUGGACGGUAGUGGAAAUGCAUGCUACCGUCCACGCCCUCUAUCCCCGGGUUGAGCAGAACUCAACAUUUACAUAUGCUAAAAGUACAAAAAGCAAUUUAGAGACAUCCGCAGAUGUAUUCAAACGGCGGUGAACAUAGAACCUCCAAUGAUACACGUGUUGAGGCGUGUAAUUCCAUAAAGAGCGGCGUUUGGUCCCCAGAUAAAAUAAAGGGUUUGCCCCAAACGAGAAAACAAUGGGCAGAACUAAACAGAUUGAAAUUUAGGAAGGGGAUCUGAGGUUAUGGAGCCUGUGUAUCAUAGGAACAGUCUAAAGACAAAAUUAAAAAAGCAGACACCAUAUCCAAGGGGUGAUUAUACAAUACCCAAGGCUAUGAAAACGGGAGUAUUGGAACCACCCGGGCCGAAAUGGUCAUGUUGAGAAACUAAACAGUAUCAACAACACGACAUAAAAGUCGUGCUGAACUAUCUGAGAAGAUCGAAAUAUAACAGACAAUACCGGUAAUAUUCAUUUCUUAACUUUAAAAUAUCACCACUUCUCAGCUGAAAUAUAGCUGUGCGGAAAAGGCGUUUAGCUACUAUUCUCGGGGUUGCAGGUUCGAAGGUCCGAGUCCUAUGUCUGUCAUUAAUUUUUUUUAGCUCACCGGAGCACAAAUUGCUCAAUGUGACCUAUUGUAACCGGUCAUUUUCCGUCGUGCGUCGGCGUGCGUCGUGCGUCAACAUGUGCUUUGUGAACACACUAGAGGCCACAUUUGUGACCCAGUCUUUAUAAAUCUUAGUCAGAAUGUUAGUCUUGAUGAUCUCUAGGUCAAGUUUGAAACUGGGUCAUGUGAGAUUAAAAACUAGGUCAGUAGGCUAGAUCAAAGGAAAAACUUUUGAACACUCUAGAGGCCACAGUUGUAACCUAAUAUUAAUGAAACUUGGUCAGAAGUAUUGUCUUGAUGAUUUUAGGUCAAGUUUGAAUCUGGGUUAUGUGAAGUAAAAAACUAGGUCACCCAGUCAGAUCAAAGGAAAAGCUUGUGAACACUCUAGCGACCGCAGUUUUGACUCAAUCUUUAUGAUUCUUAGUCAAAAUGUUUGCCUUGAUGAUCUCUAGAUC
Long non-coding RNA from Mercenaria mercenaria, 1737 nucleotides. RefSeq lists it as uncharacterized. Lineage: Eukaryota; Metazoa; Mollusca; Bivalvia; Venerida; Veneridae. The record is from RefSeq and is a predicted model, not a curated record. The transcript is spliced from 4 exons.